This is a long non-coding RNA of Cyprinus carpio (common carp), 342 nucleotides long. The record is from Ensembl. Lineage: Eukaryota; Metazoa; Chordata; Actinopteri; Cypriniformes; Cyprinidae.
UUUGUUCUUAAGGAACGUCAACGCUCCAAUCACCCUGUUGGUCAUAAGAAAUCAUAAGCAGUUCACAAAGCAUCAGCAUGACAAAGCAUUUAGAACAAAGAUGAGAAAUACUCCACCUGUACUUUACUGCUCCAGUAAAGCACAUGUCCUUCUGGUUUAAGGAAAAGUUUCCGGUUGAGCCGGAAGGACAACACAAGUCAACAUGUGAGACAGAAGAUGGGUGAAGGACAUGCCAGUAUCCAUUUACCAAUAUAUCAGGAGGUCCUGCCUUAAAAGAGAAAGCCUGACGAGCCUUACCGUCUUGUGCUUCGAAGUGGGCUAAGCGUCUCUGUGACGAGAGGG